Molecule: ribosomal RNA, 421 nt
Filed under: Fusobacteriota bacterium
Lineage: Bacteria; Fusobacteriati; Fusobacteriota
Description: Fusobacteria bacterium partial 16S ribosomal RNA
Rfam family: Bacterial small subunit ribosomal RNA
Source: RNAcentral
UGGGGAAUAUUGCACAAUGGACGGAAGUUUGAUGCAGCGACGCCGCGUGGAGGGUGUAGGCCUUCGGGUUGUGAACUCCUUUUUCUCGCGAAAAAGGCACAGUUUUGGCUGUGUUGAUGGUAGUGGGGGAAGAAGCACCGGCUAACUACGUGCCAGCAGCCGCGGUGAUACGUAGGGUGCGAGCGUUGUCCGGAAUUAUUGGGCGUAAAGAGCUUGUAGGCGGUUUGUCGCGUCGAUAGUGUAAACACGCAGCUUAACUGUGUGCCUGCUGUCGAUACGGGCUGACUAGAGGAGGGUAGGGGAGAAUGGAAUUCCCGGUGGAGCGGUGGAAUGCGCAGAUAUCGGGAGGAACACCAGUGGCGAAGGCGGUUCUCUGGACCUUUCCUGACGCUGAGAAGCGAAAGCGUGGGUAGCAAACAGG